GUGACUGCGUACCUUUUGUAUAAUGGGUCAGCGACUUAUAUUCUGUAGCAAGGUUAACCGUAUAGGGGAGCCGGAGGGAAACCGAGUCUUAACCGGGCGUUAAGUUGCAGGGUAUAGACCCGAAACCCGGUGAUCUAGCCAUGGGCAGGUUGAAGGUUGGGUAACACUAACUGGAGGACCGAACCGACUAAUGUUGAAAAAUUAGCGGAUGACCUGUGGCUGGGGGUGAAAGGCCAAUCAAACCGGGAGAUAGCUGGUUCUCCCCGAAAGCUAUUUAGGUAGCGCCUCGUGAAUUCAUCUCCGGGGGUAGAGCACUGUUUCGGCUAGGGGGCCAUCCCGGCUUACCAACCCGAUGCAAACUGCGAAUACCGGAGAAUGUUAUCACGGGAGACACACGGCGGGUGCUAACGUCCGUCGUGAAGAGGGAAACAACCCAGACCGCCAGCUAAGGUCCCAAAGUCAUGGUUAAGUGGGAAACGAUGUGGGAAGGCCCAGACAGCCAGGAUGUUGGCUUAGAAGCAGCCAUCAUUUAAAGAAAGCGUAAUAGCUCACUGGUCGAGUCGGCCUGCGCGGAAGAUGUAACGGGGCUAAACCAUGCACCGAAGCUGCGGCAGCGAACGUAUCACCCAAGACAACUUUACGGAGUUGACGAUUGACGGAGCGAAGCGACGUCAAAGCGUUCAUUAAAGUCGAGUUGGCUUAGGGAUACGUUCGUUGGGUAGGGGAGCGUUCUGUAAGCCUGUGAAGGUGUGUCGUGAGGCAUGCUGGAGGUAUCAGAAGUGCGAAUGCUGACAUAAGUAACGAUAAAGCGGGUGAAAAGCCCGCUCGCCGGAAGACCAAGGGUUCCUGUCCAACGUUAAUCGGGGCAGGGUGAGUCGACCCCUAAGGCGAGGCCGAAAGGCGUAGUCGAUGGGAAACGGGUUAAUAUUCCCGUACUUGGUGUUACUGCGAAGGGGGGACGGAGAAGGCUAUGUUGGCCGGGCGACGGUUGUCCCGGUUUAAGCGUGUAGGUGUGUGUUCCAGGUAAAUCCGGUUCACUUUAACACUGAGGCGUGACGACGAGGCACUACGGUGCUGAAGCAACAAAUGCCCUGCUUCCAGGAAAAGCCUCUAAGCAUCAGGUAACACGAAAUCGUACCCCAAACCGACACAGGUGGUCAGGUAGAGAAUACCAAGGCGCUUGAGAGAACUCGGGUGAAGGAACUAGGCAAAAUGGUGCCGUAACUUCGGGAGAAGGCACGCUGACACGUAGGUGAAGUGAUUUACUCAUGGAGCUGAAGUCAGUCGAAGAUACCAGCUGGCUGCAACUGUUUAUUAAAAACACAGCACUGUGCAAACACGAAAGUGGACGUAUACGGUGUGACGCCUGCCCGGUGCCGGAAGGUUAAUUGAUGGGGUCAGCGUAAGCGAAGCUCCUGAUCGAAGCCCCGGUAAACGGCGGCCGUAACUAUAACGGUCCUAAGGUAGCGAAAUUCCUUGUCGGGUAAGUUCCGACCUGCACGAAUGGCGUAAUGAUGGCCAGGCUGUCUCCACCCGAGACUCAGUGAAAUUGAACUCGCUGUGAAGAUGCAGUGUACCCGCGGCAAGACGGAAAGACCCCGUGAACCUUUACUAUAGCUUGACACUGAACAUUGAGCCUUGAUGUGUAGGAUAGGUGGGAGGCUUUGAAGUGUGGACGCCAGUCUGCAUGGAGCCGACCUUGAAAUACCACCCUUUAAUGUUUGAUGUUCUAACGUGGACCCGUAAUCCGGGUUGCGGACAGUGUCUGGUGGGUAGUUUGACUGGGGCGGUCUCCUCCUAAAGAGUAACGGAGGAGCACGAAGGUUGGCUAAUCCUGGUCGGACAUCAGGAGGUUAGUGCAAUGGCAUAAGCCAGCUUGACUGCGAGCGUGACGGCGCGAGCAGGUGCGAAAGCAGGUCAUAGUGAUCCGGUGGUUCUGAAUGGAAGGGCCAUCGCUCAACGGAUAAAAGGUACUCCGGGGAUAACAGGCUGAUACCGCCCAAGAGUUCAUAUCGACGGCGGUGUUUGGCACCUCGAUGUCGGCUCAUCACAUCCUGGGGCUGAAGUAGGUCCCAAGGGUAUGGCUGUUCGCCAUUUAAAGUGGUACGCGAGCUGGGUUUAGAACGUCGUGAGACAGUUCGGUCCCUAUCUGCCGUGGGCGCUGGAGAACUGAGGGGGGCUGCUCCUAGUACGAGAGGACCGGAGUGGACGCAUCACUGGUGUUCGGGUUGUCAUGCCAAUGGCACUGCCCGGUAGCUAAAUGCGGAAGAGAUAAGUGCUGAAAGCAUCUAAGCACGAAACUUGCCCCGAGAUGAGUUCUCCCUGAGACUUAGAGUCUCCUGAAGGAACGUUGAAGACGACGACGUUGAUAGGCCGGGUGUGUAAGCGCAGCGAUGCGUUGAGCUAACCGGUACUAAUGAACCGUGAGGCUUAACCUU
RNAcentral lists this ribosomal RNA (2438 nucleotides) under Salmonella enterica. RNAcentral's name for it is "partial 23S ribosomal RNA". It matches the Rfam family "Bacterial large subunit ribosomal RNA", at positions 593 to 2925 of the family's 2925-position model. Lineage: Bacteria; Pseudomonadati; Pseudomonadota; Gammaproteobacteria; Enterobacterales; Enterobacteriaceae. RNAcentral also lists the same sequence under 1 other name. The record is from RNAcentral.